This 468-nucleotide ribosomal RNA is filed under the name uncultured bacterium. RNAcentral describes it as "partial 16S ribosomal RNA". It matches the Rfam family "Bacterial small subunit ribosomal RNA", at positions 28 to 507 of the family's 1533-position model. The record is from RNAcentral.
GACGAACGCUGGCGGCGUGCUUAACACAUGCAAGUCGAACGGAAAGGCCCUGCUUUUGUGGGGUGCUCGAGUGGCGAACGGGUGAGUAACCCGUGAGUAACCUGCCCUUCACUUUGGGAUAACUUCAGGAAACUGGGGCUACUACCGGAUAGGAGCUCCUGCUGCAUGGUGGGGGUUGGAAAGUUUCGGCGGUUGGGGAUGGACUCGCGGCGUAUCAGCUUGUUGGUGGGGUAGUGGCUUACCAAGGCUUUGACGGGUAGCCGGCCUGAGAGGGUGACCGGCCACAUUGGGACUGAGAUACGGCCCAGACUCCUACGGGAGGCAGCAGUGGGGAAUAUUGCACAAUGGGCGGAAGCCUGAGGCAGCAACGCCGCGUGCGGGAUGACGGCCUUCGGGUUGUAAACCGCUUUCGCCUGUGACGAAGCGUGAGUGACGGUAAUGGGUAAAGAAGCACCGGCUAACUACGUG